RNAcentral lists this ribosomal RNA (491 nucleotides) under uncultured bacterium. RNAcentral's name for it is "partial 16S ribosomal RNA". It matches the Rfam family "Bacterial small subunit ribosomal RNA", at positions 29 to 507 of the family's 1533-position model. The record is from RNAcentral.
AGUGAACGCUGGCGGUAGGCCUAACACAUGCAAGUCGAACGGCAGCACAGUAAGAGCUUGCUCUUACGGGUGGCGAGUGGCGGACGGGUGAGGAAUACAUCGGAAUCUACUUUUUCGUGGGGGAUAACGUAGGGAAACUUACGCUAAUACCGCGUACGACCUACGGGUGAAAGCAGGGGAUCUUCGGACCUUGCGCGAUUGAAUGAGCCGAUGUCGGAUUAGCUAGUUGGCGGGGUAAAGGCCCACCAAGGCGACGAUCCGUAGCUGGUCUGAGAGGAUGAUCAGCCACACUGGAACUGAGACACGGUCCAGACUCCUACGGGAGGCAGCAGUGGGGAAUAUUGGACAAUGGGCGCAAGCCUGAUCCAGCCAUACCGCGUGGGUGAAGAAGGCCUUCGGGUUGUAAAGCCCUUUGUUGGGAAAGAAAAGCAGCAGGUUAAUACCCCGCUGUUCUGACGGUACCCAAAGAAUAAGCACCGGCUAACUUCGUG